RNAcentral lists this ribosomal RNA (302 nucleotides) under Klebsiella quasipneumoniae subsp. similipneumoniae. Its description in RNAcentral is "partial 23S ribosomal RNA". It matches the Rfam family "Bacterial large subunit ribosomal RNA", at positions 1281 to 1586 of the family's 2925-position model. Lineage: Bacteria; Pseudomonadati; Pseudomonadota; Gammaproteobacteria; Enterobacterales; Enterobacteriaceae. The record is from RNAcentral.
AUCAGAAGUGCGAAUGCUGACAUAAGUAACGAUAAAGCGGGUGAAAAGCCCGCUCGCCGGAAGACCAAGGGUUCCUGUCCAACGUUAAUCGGGGCAGGGUGAGUCGACCCCUAAGGCGAGGCCGAAAGGCGUAGUCGAUGGGAAACAGGUUAAUAUUCCUGUACUUGGUGUUACUGCGAAGGGGGGACGGAGAAGGCUAUGUUAGCCGGGCGACGGUUGUCCCGGUUUAAGCAUGUAGGCUGGUUAUCCAGGCAAAUCCGGAUAAUCAAGGCUGAGGUGUGAUGACGAGGCACUACGGUGCU